ACUAGCUGACGAGUCCCAAAUAGGACGAAAUGUACAUUAUCCUGGAU
Molecule: non-coding RNA, 47 nt
Filed under: Trichobilharzia regenti
Lineage: Eukaryota; Metazoa; Platyhelminthes; Trematoda; Strigeidida; Schistosomatidae
Source: RNAcentral